CCUUUCUAAGAGAAACGUGUAAAUAACAACGCGGGACAAGCUGUGAAAUUCAGCAGUAGCUGUUGGCUUCAAAGCAGGGCCCUGCGAUUGAUUGUCCAAACGGGAGUCCUGAUCCAGAGCUGUGGUCCCACGGGUUAAAUACAAGGACUUUAUUAUUCCUCAGCGUUGUUGCUUGCAGUCUUUUAACACAGGUUUGCUACAUUACUGCAUACAUCUUGAAGCAUCUUGAAGGAAAAGUGGAGUUUUUCCUGAAAACCUCAUUCUACCAAAACAACAACAAAAAAACUGAUACCACCACCAAAACCUCACCAAACCUGGCUGGCGUUAGUGAACCCAGGCUGAAGUCCCAAAACACGACACAGUUUCCAGCAUUCAUUGCUGUACUCUUAGCCCCUGAAGAUGACACAGGGAAUUGUACGAUGACGCCGAUGCAAGUAGCUGGCUCUGUGUCGCGGGGCUAGCAGAGCUACCAGGACUAGGGCUGUAGCUGACUGCCGUGCCAGCAGCAGAGCCACAGCACAAGUAGGCCACCAAAUUAACAGAUGUGCCCACGUCCUGCCAGUUGCUGUUUCUCCUGAUCCUCCGUCCCGGAGAGAAGGGCUGCGGGUCUGCUCCGACAGCUGGGGUGUCCUGAGGGAUAAUUUGCUGCCACUCAGUGGGAACAGGGUAGUUUGUGGCAAGAUGGGCAGCAGCAGGAGAGCAUCACAGAGAG
Molecule: long non-coding RNA, 712 nt
Organism: Cygnus atratus (black swan)
Lineage: Eukaryota; Metazoa; Chordata; Aves; Anseriformes; Anatidae
Exons: 3
Source: RefSeq, a predicted model, not a curated record